Molecule: ribosomal RNA, 1109 nt
Filed under: Eudoraea sp.
Lineage: Bacteria; Pseudomonadati; Bacteroidota; Flavobacteriia; Flavobacteriales; Flavobacteriaceae
Description: bacterial SSU rRNA
Rfam family: Bacterial small subunit ribosomal RNA
Source: RNAcentral
AGUCGGACGGUAACAGGGAUUGCUUGCAAUCCGCUGACGAGUGGCGCACGGGUGCGCAACGCGUAUAGAACCUACCCUUUACAGGGGGAUAGCCCAGAGAAAUUUGGAUUAAUACCCCGUAGUACCUAUUAGAGGCAUUUCUAAUAGGUUAUAGUUUUCGAACGGUAAAGGAUGGCUAUGCGUCUUAUUAGCUAGUAGGUAAGGUAACGGCUUACCUAGGCUACGAUAAGUAGGGGCCCUGAGAGGGGGAUCCCCCACACUGGUACUGAGACACGGACCAGACUCCUACGGGAGGCAGCAGUGAGGAAUAUUGGACAAUGGGCGGAAGCCUGAUCCAGCCAUGCCGCGUGCAGGAAGACGGCCCUAUGGGUUGUAAACUGCUUUUAUACGGGAAGAAUAAGGGAUACGUGUAUCCUGGUGACGGUACCGUAAGAAUAAGGACCGGCUAACUCCGUGCCAGCAGCCGCGGUAAUACGGAGGGUCCGAGCGUUAUCCGGAAUUAUUGGGUUUAAAGGGUCCGCAGGCGGGCAAUUAAGUCAGAGGUGAAAUGGUGCGGCUCAACCGUAGCACUGCCUUUGAUACUGGUUGUCUUGAGUCAUGGUGGAGUGGCCGGAAUAUGUAGUGUAGCGGUGAAAUGCAUAGAUAUUACAUAGAACACCGAUCGCGAAGGCAGGUCACUAACCAUGUACUGACGCUGAUGGACGAAAGCGUGGGGAGCGAACGGGAUUAGAUACCCCGGUAGUCCACGCCGUAAACGAUGGAUACUAGCUGUCCGCUGCCUUGAGCAGUGGGCGGCCAAGCGAAAGUGAUAAGUAUCCCACCUGGGGAGUACGUUCGCAAGAAUGAAACUCAAAGGAAUUGACGGGGGCCCGCACAAGCGGUGGAGCAUGUGGUUUAAUUCGAUGAUACGCGAGGAACCUUACCAGGGCUUAAAUGCAGAAUGACAGGUUUAGAGAUAGACUUUUCUUCGGACAUUUUGCAAGGUGCUGCAUGGUUGUCGUCAGCUCGUGCCGUGAGGUGUCAGGUUAAGUCCUAUAACGAGCGCAACCCCUGCCGUCAGUUGCCAGCAAGUAAUGUUGGGGACUCUGACGGGACUGCCGGUGCAAACC